RNAcentral lists this small RNA (581 nucleotides) under Pongo abelii (Sumatran orangutan). RNAcentral's name for it is "retained intron". Lineage: Eukaryota; Metazoa; Chordata; Mammalia; Primates; Hominidae. The record is from RNAcentral.
GGAAAAGCUGCUGGAACGGCAGCAGCAGCUGCAGGAGGAGCUGCAGUGCCAUGAGGCAGAGCUGCAGCACCUCAGGGAUACGGUGGCCUCCUUCAAAGAGAGCAGUGAGAAGGACACAGAGACGCACACUCAGCUUCAGGAGAUGAAGCAGCUGUACCAGGCCAGCAAGGAUGAGCUGGAGCGGCAGAAGCACAUGUAUGACCAGCUGGAGCAGGACCUCCUGCUCUGCCAGCUGGAGCUGAAAGAGCUCAAGGCCUCCCAGCCCAUUCUGGAGGACAAAGGAAAGUGUGCUAAUAAGGUAAUUGUUCAGAGAGGUGACAGCUCCUGGGCACUUGCUCCAGAGAGAGGAGGUACAGAGGCAAAAAGUGAAGGCACCCAACCCAAGGGCUUGAUGGGCUUCCUAGGCAGGAAGCAGAGGCAGAGCCACAUGCUGCUAACUUCAAAACAGUUUGCCCUGACCAUGACUUUGAGCCAGAGCCACAGCUUAGUAGGAUCAAUACCUUUGGAUCCCAGUCUGAACCCCUGAAGGUUUUACACGAUUCCAUGUAUGUGGAUAUUUAUACAAUGGUAUUAGAACUGUA